AAAAUGCGAUACGUAAUGCGAAUUGCAGAAUUCAGUGAAUCAUCGAAUCUUUGAACGCACAUUGCGCCUCCUGGUAUUCCGGGAGGCAUGCCUGUUCGAGCGUCAUCAAAAACCUCAGUCUCUGAUUUUAUCAUUGAUUGGUCCUGCAUCGGAUGCCUGUGCAUCCCCUGCGAAAUCCAAUGGCGAAGAGCCACGCAUCCAGAGCGUAGUAUUAAUAUCUC
RNAcentral lists this unclassified non-coding RNA (221 nucleotides) under uncultured Pezizales. RNAcentral describes it as "sequence contains ITS1". The stretch from base 1 to 105 matches the Rfam family "5.8S ribosomal RNA", at positions 50 to 154 of the family's 154-position model. Lineage: Eukaryota; Fungi; Ascomycota; Pezizomycetes; Pezizales. The record is from RNAcentral.